GCGCCCCGCCUCAGCCCCCAGAGCAUCGCGGAAUAAAUCCGGUAGGAGUAGAGCUCCAAGAUCAUCGAAUACAGCCUGUGUCCCAACGCCACUGUGUCAACCUGGCCGUGGCACUCAGUGUCUCUCCUUAAACACAGCCAGGGACGGUGAUUCCUGGUUCAUUCGAUGUAUAAUCGCCCUUCCUGAUAAGAUUUUUUUUCCUGAUGUACAACAUAAACCUCCCCUGGUGCAGCUUGUCCUGCCUGGGAGAAAGAAGCCAAGCCACACCUGGCUGCAGCCUCCUUUCAUGGAGUUGUACAAAGCAAUAAGGUCCUGCCUGAGCCUCUUUCUUUUCCAGCCUGAGUCCUCUGUGUUCCCUCAGCCAUUUUUCAUAGGAUUUGUGCUCCAGGCCCUUCAUCAUCUUCGUUGGCGUUCUCUGGAGCUGCUGCAGUUCCUCAAUGCCCUUCCUGAAUUGAGGGGCCCAGAACUGGCCCAGCCCGAUGUCUGCUACCUUUCUCAUGCCCUGCCUCAGCCCGUCUUGGGCCUUCCCUUUUCAAGGGCUGUCAAAGUAAUGUCUGUGAGAGGCUCUGAGGACCUGCUCAAUCAUGUGACAUCUCUCCACUAGAAUGACACUGAAUAUAGGAGGAGGGGAGGCAGGAAAAGUACACACAUGGAAAUACUGAAGUUGGUUCUGUCUCUGUGUAUGAAGAUGCUGUGUAAGUGUUGCAAAGCACCACAGAUGACAAUCCCACCACAGAGCAUCCUUCUGAAUGCUGUGUCCUGAAAGAAGCACUGCAGCUGGCAAACUUCCAGGUCAAGGCUUUGUCUAAAGUUACAGUAAAAUGUUAUCCCCUGAGAGCUGUAAAGAAACACUAUGGUGUACACAUAGGAGUUGGCAUCAGUGGCUAGGAAGGAAUGGAAGCAGCCUUGGCCAGUGACUGACAGCCCAGUUCAAAUAUCUCCAGAGGCUCUUGGAGAUUCUUGGCAAGCAUUCCUGUUUGAAAAUGUGCAAGUUCUUAUGUUUUCUUCCACAAAAAUUUACACUGCUGUGUUUCUGCUCUCUCAUCUGUGAUUUCUCUGCUCAGGUUUGUUUCUGGUUUUUAAGUUUACAAGUGAGCAAAACAGUGACUUGUAUUCUUUAGAUACCUAGAAGUUACUGGAAGUCUGAAGAAUGAGUUAGGCAAUCUAAUAUUUGAGUACAAGUGUUUUGCAAGUUAAAGAAAAUAAUUUUGUUUCUUUUUCUGUUUUGAAAACAAAUAUA
This is a non-coding RNA of Cyanistes caeruleus (blue tit), 1240 nucleotides long. The record is from RefSeq and is a predicted model, not a curated record. Lineage: Eukaryota; Metazoa; Chordata; Aves; Passeriformes; Paridae.